This 251-nucleotide ribosomal RNA is filed under the name uncultured Actinomycetales bacterium. RNAcentral's name for it is "partial 16S ribosomal RNA". It matches the Rfam family "Bacterial small subunit ribosomal RNA", at positions 79 to 334 of the family's 1533-position model. The record is from RNAcentral. Lineage: Bacteria; Bacillati; Actinomycetota; Actinomycetes; Actinomycetales.
CUUGCAGGGUACUCGAGUGGCGAACGGGUGAGUAACACGUGGGUGAUCUGCCCUGCACUUCGGGAUAAGCUUGGGAAACUGGGUCUAAUACCGGAUAGGAGCCAUCUUUAGUGUGGUGGUUGGAAAGUUUUUCGGUGUAGGAUGAGCUCGCGGCCUAUCAGCUUGUUGGUGGGGUAAUGGCCUACCAAGGCGGCGACGGGUAGCCGGCCUGAGAGGGUGUACGGCCACAUUGGGACUUAGAUACGGCCCAG